UGCCAGCAGUCGCGGUUAAACCAAGAGAUUUAGUCAUUCUUUACGGUAAAAAGACAGUUAGGCAGCAGAUUAGAGCCAUUAGACCCUUAGUAUAGGAGUAAAAUCUAGAUACUAGUAGUUAUACCGAAGGUGGUUUAUUUGAGAUGCUGAGGCUGUGAAAGCUUUAAGGGAAACUGGGAUUGGAUACCCCACUAUUUUUAGCUAUAAAUUUACUUUUAAUAUACCAGAGUACUACGAAUAAAAAGUUUAAAACUCAAAGGGCUUGGCGGUGUUUUAGACCUCUCAGGGGAACCUGUCUCAUAAUCGACAGUCCACGUUAAACCUAACCCUUUAUAGUAAUUCAGCUUGUAUACCGUCGUCGUCAGGUAACUUCUUAAAAUAUAGUAGUUAGCUAGAAAAUUUUAUUGAUUAAAACGUCAGAUCAAGGUGCAGCCAAUGAAAGGGGGAGGAUGGGUUACAAUUAUAGAUUUAUAAUUACGGAAAGGGCUUAGAAAUAAAGCAACUUAAAGGAGGACUUGAAAGUAAUUUUAAUUACAUAAAUAGGAUGAAUGCGGCUCUGAAACGUGCACACAUCGCCCGCCGCUCU
Molecule: ribosomal RNA, 586 nt
Filed under: Conus miles
Lineage: Eukaryota; Metazoa; Mollusca; Gastropoda; Neogastropoda; Conidae
Description: partial 12S ribosomal RNA
Rfam family: Bacterial small subunit ribosomal RNA
Source: RNAcentral